GAUGAACGCUGGCGGCGUGCCUAAUACAUGCAAGUCGAGCGAACAGACGAGGAGCUUGCUCCUCUGACGUUAGCGGCGGACGGGUGAGUAACACGUGGAUAACCUACCUAUAAGACUGGGAUAACUUCGGGAAACCGGAUCUAAUACCGGAUAAUAUAUUGAACGGCAUGGUUCAAUAGUGAAAGACGGUUUUGCUGUCACUUAUAGAUGGAUCCGCGCGGCAUUAGCUAGUUGGUAAGGUAACGGCUUACCAAGGCAACGAUGCGUAGCCGACCUGAGAGAGUGAUCGGCCACACUGGAACUGAGACACGGUCCAGACUCCUACGGGAGGCAGCAGUAGGGAAUCUUCCGCAAUGGGCGAAAGCUUGACGGAGCAACGCCGCGUGAGUGAUGAAGGUCUUCGGAUCGUAAAACUCUGUUAUUAGGGAAGAACAAAUGUGUAAGUAACUAUGCACGUCUUGACGGUACCUAAUAAGAAAGCCACGGCUAACUACGUG
RNAcentral lists this ribosomal RNA (497 nucleotides) under uncultured bacterium. RNAcentral's name for it is "partial 16S ribosomal RNA". It matches the Rfam family "Bacterial small subunit ribosomal RNA", at positions 28 to 507 of the family's 1533-position model. The record is from RNAcentral.